AAUAGUCUGACAUAGUUUAGGUUUUCAUGAAAUUCCAGACAAAUACUUAACGAUUAGAUAGGGAGAUUAAUUUUAAAGGUUCCGGUUUUUGUUAGGGAUUUGCUGUCCGUUGGCGACUUCAAGAGUUCUACAGAAUGCGAUCUGUUGGUGCAAAUUUGAACUGUUAAAGACAAUGGUGUACGGUUGGGAUAUGAGAGAACAUUUCAAAAGGGAUUAUAGUUCUGUUUGAACUGUUUUUGCUCUUUCUUGAUUGAAAGCGUCAAUGGGUUGGACUUUAAGCUUCUGGAUUUUUCUUUUUCUGAAUCUGCAAGUUCUGUUGGUUAUCCAAUGAUUGUUUUUGUGCACAAUGUUAUACUACAUUUUCUGUAAUUGGAAUUUUGUUGUCUUUUCUUUC
Molecule: long non-coding RNA, 394 nt
Organism: Jatropha curcas
Lineage: Eukaryota; Viridiplantae; Streptophyta; Magnoliopsida; Malpighiales; Euphorbiaceae
Source: RefSeq, a predicted model, not a curated record